GGGUCGAUAGCAUAGCGGUUAUGCUCUGAGAUUGCAAAUCGCAAAGUUGCCGGUUCAAUUCCGCUUGGCUGU
Molecule: non-coding RNA, 72 nt
Organism: Gigaspora rosea
Lineage: Eukaryota; Fungi; Glomeromycota; Glomeromycetes; Diversisporales; Gigasporaceae
Source: the annotation of a GenBank genome assembly